AUACGGAGGGUGCGAGCGUUAAUCGGAUUUACUGGGCGUAAAGCGCGCGUAGGCGGCUAAUUAAGUCAAAUGUGAAAUCCCCGAGCUUAACUUGGGAAUUGCAUUCGAUACUGGUUAGCUAGAGUGUGGGAGAGGAUGGUAGAAUUCCAGGUGUAGCGGUGAAAUGCGUAGAGAUCUGGAGGAAUACCGAUGGCGAAGGCAGCCAUCUGGCCUAACACUGACGCUGAGGUGCGAAAGCAUGGGGAGCAAACAGGAUUAGAGACCCCAGUAGUCC
Molecule: ribosomal RNA, 274 nt
Filed under: uncultured bacterium
Lineage: Bacteria
Description: partial 16S ribosomal RNA
Rfam family: Bacterial small subunit ribosomal RNA
Source: RNAcentral